Molecule: ribosomal RNA, 324 nt
Filed under: uncultured Trinematidae
Lineage: Eukaryota; Cercozoa; Imbricatea; Euglyphida; Trinematidae
Description: SSU rRNA
Rfam family: Eukaryotic small subunit ribosomal RNA (bases 112-324)
Source: RNAcentral
GAUUUCUGACAGACCGUUGCGGCCCGUGCUCGUUUCGGGCGUGUGUGCCGUGUCGUGUUUGUCAUCCUUCCAGAGAGCUGCGUCUACCAUUUACUUGGCCGGACGUACGCGAUCUGGAUCGAUUACUUUGAAAAAAUUAGAGUGUUUAAAGCAGGCUUAUGCCAUGAAUACAUUAGCAUGGAAUAAUAAUUUAGGACUUCGGUCUUAUUUUGUUGGUUUUCAGGACUGAAGUAAUGAUUAAUAGGGACAGUUGGGGGUGCUCGUAUUCAGCGGUCAGAGGUGAAAUUCUUGGAUUCGCUGAAGACGAACUUAUGCGAAAGCAUU